GUAUUGGUGGCAGUAACUCUGUUACAUAAAUUUCUGGGUAAAUUUUUGAUUAUGACUUAAUUUAUCUAUAAGUCUUGACCAAGUCACGUGCCAGCAGUCGCGGUAAUACGUGGAAGACAAGUGUUAUUCAUCUUUAUCAGGUUUAAAGGGUACCCAGACAGUUAAUUAAGCCUCCACAAAAGGGACUGAUUAUACUAGAGUUUUAUGAAAGAAGGCUAGAACGGUGAGUGUAGAGAUGAAAUAUGUUGAUACCACUUGGAAACUGGCAACGGCGAAAGCAACCUUUUAUGUAAAAACUGACGUUGAAGGACGAAGGCUCAAUUGAAAGAACAGG
Molecule: ribosomal RNA, 334 nt
Filed under: Myeloconis fecunda
Lineage: Eukaryota; Fungi; Ascomycota; Lecanoromycetes; Ostropales; Myeloconidaceae
Description: mitochondrial SSU rRNA
Rfam family: Bacterial small subunit ribosomal RNA
Source: RNAcentral